This 497-nucleotide ribosomal RNA is filed under the name uncultured bacterium. RNAcentral describes it as "partial 16S ribosomal RNA". It matches the Rfam family "Bacterial small subunit ribosomal RNA", at positions 28 to 507 of the family's 1533-position model. The record is from RNAcentral.
GAUGAACGCUGGCGGCGUGCCUAAUACAUGCAAGUCGAGCGAACGGACGAGAAGCUUGCUUCUCUGAUGUUAGCGGCGGACGGGUGAGUAACACGUGGAUAACCUACCUAUAAGACUGGGAUAACUUCGGGAAACCGGAGCUAAUACCGGAUAAUAUUUUGAACCGCAUGGUUCAAAAGUGAAAGACGGUCUUGCUGUCACUUAUAGAUGGAUCCGCGCUGCAUUAGCUAGUUGGUAAGGUAACGGCUUACCAAGGCAACGAUGCAUAGCCGACCUGAGAGGGUGAUCGGCCACCCUGGAACUGAGACGCGGUCCAGACUCCUACGGGAGGCAGCAGUAGGGAAUCUUCCGCAAUGGGCGAAAGCCUGACGGAGCAACGCCGCGUGAGUGAUGAAGGUCUUCGGAUCGUAAAACUCUGUUAUUAGGGAAGAACAUAUGUGUAAGUAACUGUGCACAUCUUGACGGUACCUAAUCAGAAAGCCACGGCUAACUACGUG